RNAcentral lists this ribosomal RNA (253 nucleotides) under uncultured bacterium. RNAcentral describes it as "partial 16S ribosomal RNA". It matches the Rfam family "Bacterial small subunit ribosomal RNA", at positions 524 to 776 of the family's 1533-position model. The record is from RNAcentral.
UACAGAGGGGGCCAGCGUUAUUCGGAAUUACUGGGCGUAAAGGGCGCGUAGGCGGCCUUCUAAGUCGAACGUGAAAUCCCCGGGCUCAACCCGGGAACUGCGUCCGAUACUGGAAGGCUUGAAUCCGGGAGAGGGAUGUGGAAUUCCAGGUGUAGCGGUGAAAUGCGUAGAUAUCUGGAGGAACACCAAUGGCGAAGGCAGCUCGCUGGGACGGUACUGACGCUGAGACGCGAAAGCGUGGGGAGCAAACAGG